RNAcentral lists this transfer RNA (68 nucleotides) under Albinaria turrita. RNAcentral's name for it is "transfer RNA-His". The record is from RNAcentral. Lineage: Eukaryota; Metazoa; Mollusca; Gastropoda; Stylommatophora; Clausiliidae.
AAAUGCUAAGUUAAGUUAAACUAUAAGGAUGUGGCCCUUAAAUUCAAUUGUGAGUUAACCGGGCAGAU